CGGACGGGUGAGUAACACGUGGAUAACCUACCUAUAAGACUGGGAUAACUUCGGGAAACCGGAGCUAAUACCGGAUAAUAUAUUGAACCGCAUGGUUCAAUAGUGAAAGACGGUUUUGCUGUCACUUAUAGAUGGAUCCGCACUGCAUUAGCUAGUUGGUAAGGUAACGGCUUACCAAGGCAACGAUGCGUAGCCGACCUGAGAGGGUGAUCGGCCACACUGGAACUGAGACACGGUCCAGACUCCUACGGGAGGCAGCAGGU
Molecule: ribosomal RNA, 263 nt
Filed under: uncultured Staphylococcus sp.
Lineage: Bacteria; Bacillati; Bacillota; Bacilli; Caryophanales; Staphylococcaceae
Description: partial 16S ribosomal RNA
Rfam family: Bacterial small subunit ribosomal RNA
Source: RNAcentral